CGUUCAAGGUAUUCGGCGUUUUCUUUCUUAAGAAUUGCAUUUUCAGAGCAAAUAAGUUCGUAUUCUUUUCUAAGUGUGUGUAGUUCAAUAUAUGCAGUAUCAUUCGAUGAGGAUUGACAUACGGUUUCAAGGUUAGCUAUGGCAGUUUUGUUUUGUUCCAUAACACCCAGUAGCAGUGGCAAUAAGUCUCUAUUAAAAAAUAGUCAGUACUGCAGAGCCUGAAAUAACGGCCGGCGGUUUUCCGACCAAAUUCCGAUUUUUCCGACCAAAUGCUGAAAUGAUCGGAAAUUUUGUCCGGCCAAAUUUUGAGAAAAAGAAAAAUGUUUUCUUAAUGAUCGGGUCGGCGCUCAGCACAGUGAAUACCAUCUGUAAGUUUGGAUUAUCUAUAUUAGGCUAAUAUAAAGUAAUCAACUGGAAAGUAUAGUUCACGGGCAGCCUAGUCCCUGGCCUUCCAAGCGCGGGCGAGUUACAGGCUGUCGUGAACUUGCGGGCUGUCAGUUUCCCCAGUCUCCAAAUAAUACAGCUUUAUCACGGUCAACCUGCAAACCUUAUCAAUUUCCCCCUAAAAUAAUGAGGCGGAAGCGAGAAGGCCAGGAACUAGGCUGGUUCACGGGCUCAAUAAACAAGAAGGUGGCUUACAGCGUGGUGUUGUCGUGAAAAUGUGAGGUGAGUCUUAAUAAUUUGCAAUUUAAAUCACCCGUCAAUCAAUUUAAAACACCCGUCGGCUCACGACCAUUUUGAAUUUUCGCUACAGUUACAAUUACCUUACACAAUUGCAAGUAGAGUGAUUUACUCAGUGCACGUCUGCAUGCUUGACAGAGUUUGCUCAUUGGGGGGGGGGGGGGGAGUGGACUUGGUCAAACUAAACUAAAAAAAAUUCCGGUCAAUUUUGCAAAUUUCCGGUCAAAUUUCGUUUUGGUCGGAAGUUUUUCCGGACAAAUUUUAAAAUUAUUUCAGGCUCUG
This is a non-coding RNA of Paramuricea clavata, 963 nucleotides long. The record is from the annotation of a GenBank genome assembly. Lineage: Eukaryota; Metazoa; Cnidaria; Anthozoa; Malacalcyonacea; Plexauridae.